UAAGAUAGAGGAGCGCGAAACAAUAGUAGUCUGCGGAGCGGGAGUGUUGAAACAGGUGAAAGGGUUAGCGCCGAAGUUUAUCAGCAGCCAUGCUGGUAUGCUGGGCUGUCAGUGAAUAAUUGACGGACUGUCGCUGCUGCUGCAGCGGAGUGCUAUCUC
This 159-nucleotide non-coding RNA is filed under the name mouse gut metagenome. RNAcentral's name for it is "Lysine riboswitch". It matches the Rfam family "Lysine riboswitch aptamer". From Rfam's summary of the family: Riboswitches are metabolite binding domains within certain messenger RNAs that serve as precision sensors for their corresponding targets. Allosteric rearrangement of mRNA structure is mediated by ligand binding, and this results in modulation of gene expression. This family includes riboswitches that sense lysine in a number of genes involved in lysine metabolism, including lysC. The record is from RNAcentral. RNAcentral also lists the same sequence under 1 other name.